This 473-nucleotide ribosomal RNA is filed under the name uncultured bacterium. Its description in RNAcentral is "bacterial SSU rRNA". It matches the Rfam family "Bacterial small subunit ribosomal RNA", at positions 28 to 507 of the family's 1533-position model. The record is from RNAcentral.
GAUGAACGCUAGCUACAGGCUUAACACAUGCAAGUCGAGGGGAAACGAUAUUGGAAGCUUGCUUCCGAUAGGCGUCGACCGGCGCACGGGUGAGUAACGCGUAUCCAACCUGCCCACCACUUGGGGAUAACCUUGCGAAAGUAAGACUAAUACCCAAUGAUAUCUCUAGAAGACAUCUGAAAGAGAUUAAAGAUUUAUCGGUGAUGGAUGGGGAUGCGUCUGAUUAGCUUGUUGGCGGGGUAACGGCCCACCAAGGCGACGAUCGGUAGCCGGACUGAGAGGUUGAACGGCCACAUUGGGACUGAGACACGGCCCAGACUCCUACGGGAGGCAGCAGUGGGGAAUAUUGCACAAUGGGGGGAAACCCUGAUGCAGCGACGCCGCGUGGAGGAAGAAGGUCUUCGGAUUGUAAACUCCUGUUGUUGAGGAAGAUAAUGACGGUACUCAACAAGGAAGUGACGGCUAACUACGUG